This 497-nucleotide ribosomal RNA is filed under the name uncultured bacterium. RNAcentral describes it as "partial 16S ribosomal RNA". It matches the Rfam family "Bacterial small subunit ribosomal RNA", at positions 28 to 507 of the family's 1533-position model. The record is from RNAcentral.
GAUGAACGCUGGCGGCGUGCCUAACACAUGCAAGUCGAGCGAACGGACGAGAAGUUUGCGUCGUUGAUGUUAGCGGCGGGCGGGUGAGUAACACGUGUAUAACCUACCUAUAAGUCUGAGAUAACUUCGGGAAAGCGGAGCUAACACCGGAUAAUAUUUUGAACCGUAGGGUUCAAAAGAGAAAGACGGUCUUGCUGUCACUUAUAGAUGGUUCCGGGCUGCAUUGGCUAGUUGGUAAGGUAACGGCUUACCAAGGCUACGAUGCAUAGCCGACCUGAGAGGGUGAUCGGCCACACUGGAACUGAGACACGGUCCAGACUCCUACGGGAGGCAGCAGUAGGGAAUCUUCCGCAAUGGGCGAAAGCCUGACGCAGCAACGCCGCGUGUGUGAUGAAGGUCUUCGGAUCGUAAAGCUCUGUUAUUAGGGAAGAACAGAUGUGUAAGUAACUGUGCACAUCUUGACGGUACCUAAUCAGAAAGCAACGGCUAACUACGUG